Molecule: small nuclear RNA, 133 nt
Organism: Otolemur garnettii (small-eared galago)
Lineage: Eukaryota; Metazoa; Chordata; Mammalia; Primates; Galagidae
Source: Ensembl
AAAAAGGGCUUCUGUCGUGAGUGGCACACGUGGGGCAACUCAACUGCUCUUCGUGCGAAAUUGACAUCAAGAGAUUUCGGAAGCAUAAUUUUUCGGUACUGGGCAGCCGGUGAUUGUUGGUCCCGGUGCCCAA